ACCCGCUGAACUUAAGCAUAUCAAUAAGCGGAGGAAAAGAAACUAACAAGGAUUCCCCUAGUAACUGCGAGUGAAGCGGGAAAAGCUCAAAUUUAAAAUCUGGUGGUCUUUGGCCAUCCGAGUUGUAAUCUAGAGAAGUGUUAUCCGCGCUGGACCGUGUACAAGUCCCCUGGAAUGGGGCGUCAUAGAGGGUGAGAAUCCCGUCUUUGACACGGACUACCAGGGCUUUGUGAUGCACUCUCAAAGAGUCGAGUUGUUUGGGAAUGCAGCUCAAAAUGGGUGGUAAAUUCCAUCUAAAGCUAAAUAUUGGCGAGAGACCGAUAGCGAACAAGUACCGUGAGGGAAAGAUGAAAAGAACUUUGGAAAGAGAGUUAAACAGUACGUGAAAUUGUUGAAAGGGAAACGCUUGAAGUCAGUCGCGUCUGCCAGGGAUCAACCUUACUUUUGUGAGGCGUACUUCCUGGUUGAUGGGUCAGCAUCAGUUUUGGUUGCUGGAUAAAGGUCAGAGAAAUGUGGCACCUUCGGGUGUGUUAUAGUCUUUGAUCAGAUACAGUGGCUGGGACUGAGGAACUCAGCGCCGCAAGGCUGUCUUAGGAUGCUGGCAAAAUGGCUUUAAUCGACCCGUCUUGAAACACGGACCAAGGAG
RNAcentral lists this ribosomal RNA (646 nucleotides) under uncultured fungus. Its description in RNAcentral is "eukaryotic LSU rRNA". It matches the Rfam family "Eukaryotic large subunit ribosomal RNA", at positions 23 to 673 of the family's 3401-position model. Lineage: Eukaryota; Fungi. The record is from RNAcentral.